ACGAACCGUCCAAACGUUAUUCGGAAUCACUGGGCUUAAAGGGUGCGUAGGCGGCCCGGAAAGUUGGGUGUGAAAUCCCUCGGCUCAACCGAGGAACUGCAUUCAAAACUACCGGGCUUGAGGGAGAUAGAGGUGAGCGGAACUCAGGGUGGAGCGGUGGAAUGCGUUGAUAUCCUGGGGAACACCAGUUGCGAAGGCGGCUCACUGGGUCUCUUCUGACGCUGAGGCACGAAAGCUAGGGGAGCGAAGAG
RNAcentral lists this ribosomal RNA (251 nucleotides) under uncultured prokaryote. RNAcentral's name for it is "partial 16S rRNA". It matches the Rfam family "Bacterial small subunit ribosomal RNA", at positions 525 to 775 of the family's 1533-position model. The record is from RNAcentral.